Molecule: long non-coding RNA, 863 nt
Organism: Mustela lutreola (European mink)
Lineage: Eukaryota; Metazoa; Chordata; Mammalia; Carnivora; Mustelidae
Exons: 3
Source: RefSeq, a predicted model, not a curated record
UCGAAACUUGCCCAAGGUUGCACCCGUCACGGUCUACUCGGGACACUGGGCGUCUCUGGAAGGAAGGACUGGCACAGGACGUAGCAGGGAACAGCUUCUCUAAGACGGAGCUGAAUCGAAGGGGACUUUUGUUCUUCUGUUUUGAAGGAAAAAAAGAAUAAAAUAUAAAACCCUUUGGUGGGGGUUGAUGCUCGGCGGAACUUGUAUGUGCCUUAAAAAGGGCACCUGAAGAACUCCCAGCAGCGCCGGUCCUCGUUAGUAUAGUGAAUCAAAUUCUUCCAAAAGUGCGGAAAUGUCCUUACUCGAGGAAAAUCAACUAAUAAGCGGCGGGAUUCGGUCUGGCGGGCGCCCACUGAGGACCUGGUUACACUCACGGUCCAGCCCAGGGUCACACGGUGAUGAGAAGACAAAGUUCUCGCGCUGCGGCGGUAUUUCCAUCUCCCGCGUGCCCUCAGCGCGUCUGUGAAGUGCUCGGUUUGGUCGGUGCUGUCCCCAGAAAGGACUGCCGCCUUUCAAGGCCAAGGCAUGCUCCUUCUGCCCCCAGAGAGUUCCAUCCUCUUGGAUCUUACCCAGGACCCAGGCUGGCCCUUAAAAAAAAGUUUAUGGAGUUGACACAGGAGGUCGGGGUCAGUGCCGUUGUGGACUCCUUCCUGAGUAGCUGUCAGCCUUCCCAGGCUCCUAGUCUUUCAUUUGUUUGUCUGGGGUCACCCCCCCACACACAUUCAUUCUGCAAAUAUUUACUGAAAACGUGUUCAGUGUCAGGCCCUGUUCUAGGCACUGGGGCUGCGGCAGGAACCAGAGUGGCCCAGAUCCUGCCUUACCGAGUUUAGGACACAGACAAUAAACAAAUGCUAUAAAAAGUC